CGCUUCUAAAUAAUUUUUGCCUAGUUAUUACCUAAAAUAUUCAAUUUUAUAUUUAAACACUUAAAAAUCAUAAAAAUAUUUUUAAUCUUUAUUCCUUUAAUACUAUAUAUAUAUUUUUUAGAUAUUCCAAGAUAUUCCAAGACAUAAAAAGCAAGUGCUUUUAAAAACGUAAUUCCAAACUAAACCUUACAAUAUUGUAAAAUAUGUUAUCCAAAAGAUAUUAACACCAGUACUUACGUGUAUGAUGAAUAUGAAAGAUACGUAAAAUUGAACCACAGCGUUAUAGGACAAAAAGGAUUUAAAAUUAGCUCUAAUAUCAUGUUACCUAAAAGAUCGAUUUAGUAGGAAACACACCAGAUUAUAUAUCAACAAAAUAUAAUGGUAAAAUACAAACUAUAUAUG
RNAcentral lists this long non-coding RNA (402 nucleotides) under Ananas comosus (pineapple). Its description in RNAcentral is "long non-coding RNA (ACOM_LNC011615)". The record is from RNAcentral. Lineage: Eukaryota; Viridiplantae; Streptophyta; Magnoliopsida; Poales; Bromeliaceae.